RNAcentral lists this ribosomal RNA (340 nucleotides) under uncultured Bacillota bacterium. RNAcentral describes it as "bacterial SSU rRNA". It matches the Rfam family "Bacterial small subunit ribosomal RNA", at positions 28 to 351 of the family's 1533-position model. Lineage: Bacteria; Bacillati; Bacillota. The record is from RNAcentral.
GAUGAACGCUGGCGGCGUGCCUAACACAUGCAAGUCGAGCGGUAUAUACUUUAUCAAAUCUUCGGAAGAGAGACGGUAUAGAGAGCGGCGGACGGGUGAGUAACGCGUAGGCAACCUGCCCCAUACAGAGGGAUAGCCUCGGGAAACCGGGAUUAAAACCUCAUAACGCCAAGAGUUCACAUGGACUUUUGGCCAAAGAUUUAUCGGUAUGGGAUGGGCCUGCGUCUGAUUAGCUAGUUGGUGGGGUAACGGCCUACCAAGGCAACGAUCAGUAGCCGACCUGAGAGGGUAAUCGGCCACAUUGGAACUGAGACACGGUCCAAACUCCUACGGGUGGCAG